This 253-nucleotide ribosomal RNA is filed under the name uncultured bacterium. RNAcentral describes it as "partial 16S ribosomal RNA". It matches the Rfam family "Bacterial small subunit ribosomal RNA", at positions 524 to 776 of the family's 1533-position model. The record is from RNAcentral.
UACAGAGGGGGCAAGCGUUAUUCGGAAUUAUUGGGCGUAAAGGGCGCGUAGGCGGCUUUGCAAGUGACGGGUGAAAUCCCUCGGCUUAACCGAGGAACUGCCUGUCAGACUGCAUGGCUUGAGACCGGGAGAGGUGAGUGGAAUUCCCAGUGUAGCGGUGAAAUGCGUAGAUAUUGGGAGGAACACCAGUGGCGAAGGCGGCUCACUGGACCGGUACUGACGCUGAGGCGCGAAAGCGUGGGGAGCGAACAGG